Molecule: long non-coding RNA, 137 nt
Organism: Cryptotermes secundus
Lineage: Eukaryota; Metazoa; Arthropoda; Insecta; Blattodea; Kalotermitidae
Exons: 2
Source: RefSeq, a predicted model, not a curated record
CCUGUCGCAAUAACAUUUCCAGAAAUAAAGGCUGAACCUGAGGGUAAUUUGAAUGAACUUCAACCCAUGCAUGGUGAGGAUCGACACUAUUCCUGUGAUGAGUGUGGUGAAUCAUUCAGUCGGCAGAGUCAUCAGAA